This is a non-coding RNA of Cinara cedri, 401 nucleotides long. NCBI's taxonomy places the organism in Eukaryota, Metazoa, Arthropoda, Insecta, Hemiptera, Aphididae. The record is from the annotation of a GenBank genome assembly.
AUAGAAGAACAAGGUUUGAAGAAUCGCUAUUAUAUUUACUAAUAGAAGUUUUAUUUUGGAUUGGUAUGUAAUUUUUAAAUUGUUUUUAGUUGCAAAUACAUUAACAACUUGAUUUCUAUAUUUUUAGGAGAAAACACGGAACAGAGUAGUUAGGCUGCACCACAUGUACAAAUUAAGUUGGGUGAUAUCCCUGCAAUCAUGUUCCAUGAAUCUACAACUUAAUUUUUAAGAGGAAUUUUAAACUAUAAUAAAGGCAAAAGACAACUAAGAAACUCAAUUGGACUCUUUACUGCCUAUUGUAAACGAGAAGGACGUAAUUGGGAACUAUAUGAUGACCUCAACACAAAACCAAAAGCUAUUAGUAUAAAUACUGUGAUCACAUGUGAAAUGUUAUUGUACAC